CCAGUGACUGGAAUUUGGAAGUGGCCCGGCCGGCAGGAGUGGCGGCCACCACCCGGCUGUCCCCACGCCGCAGCGACAGCCCCGCCAGACGAUCUAGGGCGCACUUCUCACGUAUGUAGCAGCAGUCAACGGAGAAAUGCAAAUCCUGGUCACGGUCUCUAUAGUGCUUGAGGAAACUAACUAGAUCCCGGACUGACAAAUCUGUGGCCGCCUUCAUCCAUCGCCCAUACUCUUCCAGCUGAAGGGGGAAGAGCAGCUCUCUGUAACCCGGGCCCCUGCGAGGAUGUCCUGCUGCCUGCAAGCGCCCUGCUGUCGUGAGCGUGAGCGGACUGCUUGCCGCCAGUCAUACACAGCGCUGAAAUAUCACAGGGAUGUGUCACACAAGAAACCCAAAGUGGUAGAAAAUUUAAAAGGGGUUGGGAAGAAGAAGAA
This is a long non-coding RNA of Fukomys damarensis (Damara mole-rat), 432 nucleotides long. RefSeq lists it as uncharacterized. NCBI's taxonomy places the organism in Eukaryota, Metazoa, Chordata, Mammalia, Rodentia, Bathyergidae. The transcript has 3 exons. The record is from RefSeq and is a predicted model, not a curated record.